RNAcentral lists this ribosomal RNA (503 nucleotides) under Micrococcus sp. IVw_ZZ. Its description in RNAcentral is "bacterial SSU rRNA". It matches the Rfam family "Bacterial small subunit ribosomal RNA", at positions 8 to 524 of the family's 1533-position model. Lineage: Bacteria; Bacillati; Actinomycetota; Actinomycetes; Micrococcales; Micrococcaceae. The record is from RNAcentral.
AGAGUUUGAUCCUGGCUCAGGAUGAACGCUGGCGGCGUGCUUAACACAUGCAAGUCGAACGAUGAAGCCCAGCUUGCUGGGUGGAUUAGUGGCGAACGGGUGAGUAACACGUGAGUAACCUGCCCUUAACUCUGGGAUAAGCCUGGGAAACUAGGUCUAAUACCGGAUAGGAGCGCCUACCGCAUGGUGGGUGUUGGAAAGAUUUAUCGGUUUUGGAUGGACUCGCGGCCUAUCAGCUUGUUGGUGAGGUAAUGGCUCACCAAGGCGACGACGGGUAGCCGGCCUGAGAGGGUGACCGGCCACACUGGGACUGAGACACGGCCCAGACUCCUACGGGAGGCAGCAGUGGGGAAUAUUGCACAAUGGGCGAAAGCCUGAUGCAGCGACGCCGCGUGAGGGAUGACGGCCUUCGGGUUGUAAACCUCUUUCAGUAGGGAAGAAGCGAAAGUGACGGUACCUGCAGAAGAAGCACCGGCUAACUACGUGCCAGCAGCCGCGGUAAU